RNAcentral lists this ribosomal RNA (459 nucleotides) under uncultured bacterium. RNAcentral's name for it is "partial 16S ribosomal RNA". It matches the Rfam family "Bacterial small subunit ribosomal RNA", at positions 338 to 795 of the family's 1533-position model. The record is from RNAcentral.
CCUACGGGUGGCAGCAGUGAGGAAUAUUGGACAAUGGCCGGAAGGCUGAACCAGCCAAGCCGCGUGAAGGACGAAGGUGCCAAGCAUUGUAAACUUCUUUUGUCAAGGGACAAAAUCAGGCUCGAGAACCUUACCAAGGGUACUUGAAGAAAAAGCAUCGGCUAACUCCGUGCCAGCAGCCGCGGUAAUACGGAGGAUGCGAGCGUUAUCCGGAUUUAUGGGGUUUAAAGGGUGCGUAGGCGGACUGUUAAGUCAGCGGUAAAAGCCCGGGGCUCAACCCCGGCGAGCCGUUGAUACUGGCAGUCUUGAGAUGUCGAGAGGUAUGCGGAAUGCGCAGUGUAGCGGUGAAAUGCGUAGAUAUUGCGCAGAACACCGAUUGCGAAGGCAGCAUACCGGCGGCGAUCUGACGCUGAGGCACGAAAGCGUGGGUAUCGAACAGGAUUAGAUACCCUUGUAGUC